UCUGGCCUAUCUGGUUGUAAUUAACUAUGAAUGGAGGAAUCUCGGUCUGUCUGUGUGUCGAUUUUCCCGACAACGGCUCAUCCGAUCGACGUCACACUUUGUGGGUGUUAUUGCUGCGGACUCAAGGAAGCGCAGUAUCGACUCUUUUCGGAGGCUUUUGGAUGAGCUGUUCUCGAGAAAGCUUCAGCCAUAAUUUUUCUUCACGUUACUUGACGUGAAGAAAAAGGCGGAACUGCACCCGGACAAUUAACAGCCGGCACAUGCCAGGGUUUUAAGACAGGCGGAACGCAACUGCGAUGGCACUUUCUACGCCGUCACCCAGACACUAUCGUAGCGGAGCGGAGCAGUCCACUCCGGAGCUGACGCCAUUACUUUAGCUUUGCUAGGGGACACAACUAUAUCAUGCCAGGUGUAUUGUUCGGGACCCAAGGAAGUGCAGUGUUAAGUGGGAAGGUGUUUGGAUGAUGCUCUCAAGAAAGCUGCGAGAUGGAUUAACACAGGCCAAGCAAUCAACCCCUACCGGAGAGCACAUUUUGAAUGAGCACUGCACUUCCUUGGGUCCUGAGCACUUCCUUGCUCAGGACCCAAGGAACCCCUAACCCUGUAAAUCCUCCGGUUGCCGCAGGGAAGUCAGACGGCAUACUUAGAGAUUUUUCACACUGAAACCCUACCAGGAAAUGGAGGGACUAUGCUCUUUGAGGCACUGGCAGGCUUUUAAUGUGAAACAUCUAUUCAGACUCCACACCAAGCGCAACACGACAAGAUUAAAUGGAGCAGAAACCUCCACUACAGCUACUGUCACUUAAAGAGUGAAAGAUUCAAGAAUAAAAAGGCACUUUUUGGUACAUUCCAUGGACAAAAGCGAAUAAGAAAAAGAAGACCGUAUCUUUGACCGCUAAAUGAACACAGAACACAAGAGAGAGAUUUGAACAGGAAGUUGCAGCUCAGAGAUGAGAAGAAAGGCAGUCAAGCUGAAGGGAAAAGGGGAACUGUUCCAUCAGGCAACACUAGCAAAUAUGUGAUAUGUGCAAAAAUGGCUCUUACAGCAAAUAAACUGCCUGGUCUGAAUGAGAGUGUCUGAUAAAAUGUCAUUGUGUAUUUCCUUCUGAACAGGGCAGAUUAAGAAUCUGAAUAGCUGUGGCUGAAAGGAAUGUUGAACUGCACAAAACAUCAACAAAACAGAGAUCCUCUGGGCUGUUUCUGACACGUUUGUGGAUUAAAAUUACGUCAUUCCAUCUAAACAAGUUUUUUGCCUUUGUUGAUGCUAAAGGCAAAAACUUACUGAUCU
Xiphias gladius (swordfish) is the source of this 1288-nucleotide long non-coding RNA. RefSeq lists it as uncharacterized. The transcript has 3 exons. NCBI's taxonomy places the organism in Eukaryota, Metazoa, Chordata, Actinopteri, Istiophoriformes, Xiphiidae. The record is from RefSeq and is a predicted model, not a curated record.